RNAcentral lists this ribosomal RNA (450 nucleotides) under uncultured organism. RNAcentral describes it as "bacterial SSU rRNA". It matches the Rfam family "Bacterial small subunit ribosomal RNA", at positions 346 to 794 of the family's 1533-position model. The record is from RNAcentral.
GCGCAGCAGUCGAGAAUCUUCGGCAAUGGGCGCAAGCCUGACCGAGCGACGCCGCGUGGAGGACGAAGGCCUUCGGGUUGUAAACUCCUGUCGAGGGGAAGGAAGGAGCGGCGCAGAGCCGUUCUUGACCGCUCCCUGGAGGAAGCACGGGCUAAGUUCGUGCCAGCAGCCGCGGUAAGACGAACCGUGCGAACGUUAUUCGGAAUCACCGGGCUUAAAGCGCGUGUAGGCGGACUGCCACGUCGGGCGCUGAAAUCCCCCGGCUCAACCGGGGAAUGGGCACCGAUACGAGCAGUCUUGAGGGGAAUAGGGGGACCUGGAACUUCCGGUGGAGCGGUGAAAUGCGUUGAGAUCGGAAGGAACGCCCGUGGCGAAAGCGAGGUCCUGGGUUUCUACUGACGCUGAGACGCGAAAGCCAGGGGAGCAAACGGGAUUAGAUACCCGGGUAGU